CCGCUGGUCGUCUAGUUGGUUUAUGGCACUGGACUGUAAAUCCAGGUGUCGUCGGUUCGACUCCGACCCAGCGGA
Molecule: transfer RNA, 75 nt
Filed under: Histoplasma capsulatum G186AR
Lineage: Eukaryota; Fungi; Ascomycota; Eurotiomycetes; Onygenales; Ajellomycetaceae
Also listed under: 8 other names
Description: tRNA-Tyr (GTA) (tRNA-Tyr-GTA-1-1, tRNA-Tyr-GTA-1-2)
Rfam family: tRNA
About the family: Transfer RNA (tRNA) molecules are approximately 80 nucleotides in length.
Source: RNAcentral